GCGCUCUUGGCCAAGUGGUACGGCGACAGACUUCGACGUUUGUUGGACAUUCUUCUUUCGAAGAAGGCAUCUGUAGAUCGGGGGUUCGAUCCCCUCAGAGCGUU
Saitozyma sp. JCM 24511 is the source of this 104-nucleotide non-coding RNA. Lineage: Eukaryota; Fungi; Basidiomycota; Tremellomycetes; Tremellales; Trimorphomycetaceae. The record is from the annotation of a GenBank genome assembly.